RNAcentral lists this microRNA (23 nucleotides) under Raphanus sativus (radish). RNAcentral's name for it is "rsa-miRn1". Lineage: Eukaryota; Viridiplantae; Streptophyta; Magnoliopsida; Brassicales; Brassicaceae. The record is from RNAcentral.
AUACUCUCAAGAUUUUGCACAUG